GAGUACAGUAGAGGUGGGCGGAAUUCGUGGUGUAGCGGUGAAAUGCUUAGAUAUCACGAAGAACUCCGAUUGCGAAGGCAGCUCACUGGACUGCAACUGACACUGAUGCUCGAAAGUGUGGGUAUCAAACAGGAUUAGAUACCCUGGUAGUCCACACAGUAAACGAUGAAUACUCGCUGUUUGCGAUAUACAGUAAGCGGCCAAGCGAAAGCAUUAAGUAUUCCACCUGGGGAGUACGCCGGCAACGGUGAAACUCAAAGGAAUUGACGGGGGCCCGCACAAGCGGAGGAACAUGUGGUUUAAUUCGAUGAUACGCGAGGAACCUUACCCGGGCUUAAAUUGCAGUGGAAUGAUGUGGAAACAUGUCAGUGAGCAAUCACCGCUGUGAAGGUGCUGCAUGGUUGUCGUCAGCUCGUGCCGUGAGGUGUCGGCUUAAGUGCCAUAACGAGCGCAACCCUUAUCUUCAGUUACUAACAGGUCAUGCUGAGGACUCUGGAGAGACUGCCGUCGUAAGAUGUGAGGAAGGUGGGGAUGACGUCAAAUCAGCACGGCCCUUACGUCCGGGGCUACACACGUGUUACAAUGGGGGGUACAGAAGGCAGCUAGCGGGUGACCGUAUGCUAAUCCCAAAAUCCUCUCUCAGUUCGGAUCGAAGUCUGCAACCCGACUUCGUGAAGCUGGAUUCGCUAGUAAUCGCGCAUCAGCCACGGCGCGGUGAAUACGUUCCCGGGCCUUGUACACACCGCCCGUCAAGCCAUGGGAGCCGGGGGUACCUGAAGUACGUAACCGCAAGGAUCGUCCUAGGGUAAAACUGGUGACUGGGGCUAAGUCGUAACAAGGUAACCA
This 846-nucleotide ribosomal RNA is filed under the name uncultured bacterium. Its description in RNAcentral is "bacterial SSU rRNA". It matches the Rfam family "Bacterial small subunit ribosomal RNA", at positions 644 to 1502 of the family's 1533-position model. The record is from RNAcentral.